UAGUCAAUGCUCGCAAGAGUGAACUAGCUAACUGAAAUCAUAUAUGUGUCAUAUGUGAUAAAAUAAGGGAAAAUAAUGAUAUUACCUUAUUAUUAGUGUUGUCCAAAACUGGUGCCAGAAGACUCGGUAAGGCCAGAGACGCAAACGUUAGUCGUCCUAAUCAGGCGUAAAGGGUUUGUAGGCUGCUUUAAAAGUCUUAUUUUUAAUAUAGCUAAAAUAAAGAUAAGAUCAAUUAAAGCUAGAAUCAAAUAGAGGGUAAACCAAAUAAUACUUAGAGUAGGGCCGAUAUCCAUAAAUACUAGGUGGAAUACUAAAGGUGAAAGCUUUUUAUCUACUAAUGAUUGACGCUGAGAAACGAAGGUGAGGAAAGGAAACAGGAUUAGAUACCCACAUACCCCUCUCUGUCAACGAUGAAUGGUGGCUUGCUAAUUGAAUAAAACAUUAAAAAGUUUAAUGUAAUUAUAAUAAAAAAUUGGUAGCGAUGUUAACACGAUAACCAUUCCGCCUUGUGAGUACGACUGCAAAGUUGAAAACA
Molecule: ribosomal RNA, 535 nt
Filed under: Serpula himantioides
Lineage: Eukaryota; Fungi; Basidiomycota; Agaricomycetes; Boletales; Serpulaceae
Description: partial small subunit ribosomal RNA
Rfam family: Bacterial small subunit ribosomal RNA
Source: RNAcentral